CCCUUAGAUGUCCUGGGCCGCACGCGCGCUACACUGAUGCAUGCAACGAGUUUAUAACCUUGGCCUGAAAGGUCUGGGUAAUCUUUUGAACGUGCAUCGUGAUAGGGAUAGAUUAUUGCAAUUGUUAAUCUUGAACGAGGAAUUCCUAGUAAACGCGAGUCAUCAGCUCGCAUUGAUUACGUCCCUGCCCUUUGUACACACCGCCCGUCGCACCUACCGAUUGAAUGGUUCGGUGAAGAUCUCGGACUUCGAUAGUUAUUCUUUAUUGAGUUUAUAUUGUGGGAAGUUAUCUAAACCUCAUCAUUUAGAGGAAGGUGAAGUCGUAACA
Molecule: ribosomal RNA, 328 nt
Filed under: uncultured eukaryote
Lineage: Eukaryota
Description: partial 18S ribosomal RNA
Rfam family: Eukaryotic small subunit ribosomal RNA
Source: RNAcentral